AACAGGAUUAGAUACCCUGGUAGUGCACGCCGUAAACGAUGUCGACUUGGAGGUUGUUCCCUUGAGGAGUGGCUUCCGGAGCUAACGCGUUAAGUCGACCGCCUGGGGAGUACGGCCGCAAGGUUAAAACUCAAAUGAAUUGACGGGGGCCCGCACAAGCGGUGGAGCAUGUGGUUUAAUUCGAUGCAACGCGAAGAACCUUACCUACUCUUGACAUCCAGAGAACUUAGCAGAGAUGCUUUGGUGCCUUCGGGAACUCUGAGACAGGUGCUGCAUGGCUGUCGUCAGCUCGUGUUGUGAAAUGUUGGGUUAAGUCCCGCAACGAGCGCAACCCUUAUCCUUUGUUGCCAGCGAUUCGGUCGGGAACUCAAAGGAGACUGCCGGUGAUAAACCGGAGGAAGGUGGGGAUGACGUCAAGUCAUCAUGGCCCUUACGAGUAGGGCUACACACGUGCUACAAUGGCGCAUACAAAGAGAAGCGACCUCGCGAGAGCAAGCGGACCUCAUAAAGUGCGUCGUAGUCCGGAUCGGAGUCUGCAACUCGACUCCGUGAAGUCGGAAUCGCUAGUAAUCGUGGAUCAGAAUGCCACGGUGAAUACGUUCCCGGGCCUUGUACACACCGCCCGUCACACCAUGGGAGUGGGUUGCAAAAGAAGUAGGUAGCUUAACCUUCGGGAGGGCGCUUACCACUUUGUGAUUCAUGACUGGGGUGAAGUCGUAACAAGGUAACC
This 730-nucleotide ribosomal RNA is filed under the name uncultured bacterium. RNAcentral's name for it is "bacterial SSU rRNA". It matches the Rfam family "Bacterial small subunit ribosomal RNA", at positions 771 to 1501 of the family's 1533-position model. The record is from RNAcentral.